Molecule: long non-coding RNA, 602 nt
Filed under: Pan troglodytes (chimpanzee)
Lineage: Eukaryota; Metazoa; Chordata; Mammalia; Primates; Hominidae
Description: long non-coding RNA NONPTRT008157
Source: RNAcentral
GAAGAGGAAGGAGGCUGACUUUGGAAAGUGGGCAUGGGGGUUCACAGAGGGCUCCUGAUUGGGGGAUGUAGUGCCUGGUUAUCCUUGAGCUCACACCAACAAUGUCUGUCCAUCUGUCCAGCUCCCGCUGGCUCAGAACCAUGGCUGUGCCAGCCGGCACCCAGGUGUGGAGACAAGAUCUACAACCCCUUGGAGCAGUGCUGUUACGAUGAUGCCAUCGUGUCCCUGAGCGAGACCCGCCAAUGUGGUCCCCACUGCACCUUCUGGCCCUGCUUUGAGCUCUGCUGUCCUGAGUCCUUUGGCCUCACAAACGAUUUUGUUGUGAAGCUGAAGGUUCAGGGUGUGAAUUCCCAGUGCCACUCAUCUCCCAUCUCCAGUAAAUGUGAAAGCAGAAGACGUUUUCCCUGAGAAGACAUAGAAAGAAAAUCAACUUUCAGUGAGGCAUCUCGGAAACACAGGCUAGGGUAAUAUGUGUAACAGUAAAGAAGCCUGAGGAAUUUACAAAAUGGUGCAGCUCCAAGCCAUUGUAUGGCCCAUGUGGGAGACUGAUGGGACAUGGAGAAUGACAGUAGUUUAUCAGGAAAUAAAGUGGGUUUUCCAAU